UGACAUAGAACAAGGAAUCGUACAUUUAACAGCUUUAUUACCAAAUUUUCUGUGAUUUUGACCUAUCUCUAGAACGCAUGACCUCCAAAGCUAAAAUUCUACGUUCGAGAUCGGCAAGAUCACAAGAUUUAGUAUUACAAGGCUCAGUUGAAGGAGUUAUCAUAGCAACUUGAAGUCCAGACUCCCGAUCCAUGAUUUUAUCAGCUAAAUCAGCCAACUUAAUUAGAGGACUACCUUCAACAACUGCCAAAGUGCUUGAACGCGAUAAGGUGGUCUCUCAAUUAUCUCAGCAACCAUUAAAAGAGCUUGUUCAUCAAGAUGUCUUAUUACAGUGCUAUAUUUGAUAUCAUCCGAACGAAUCAGAAAAACCAAAAAUUCACUCUCAAGUUAAGCAAACCAGAGUUUCGGUUGCUUAUGCCAGAAAAUCGGUAGCUUAAGAAGACGAAAUUCGUUGGCAUUGAUUUCACCGGACUCACCUGAAUUUCUCGGCUCAUUGCUGGUAUGUUGAGCUGCUCUUUCCGUAUAAUUGGCAUGCUGAUCCUGUUGAUCUUCAGAAGCUGAAACUGAUCUUGGAGUGGCGGACGGUGUUCUAUCGACAGGCAUCUCGAAGAAUUUUCGAAGUUCUAAGCAACGAAGUCCAAGAAACUUGCCGAAUAACAACUCAGCCACCAAGAAGACUAGAAGUUCUUGUCAAAGAAAAGCCGUAAAUUGUCCAGAAGUUUCCACAAUUCCACACUGAACAAGAAAUCGGACUUGCAGAUUUCUUAGUCACUAAUUUAGAAGUACCGCACUUGACGAGAUCACGUCGGGGUCACCAGUUGUGGGAACUUAUGUGAAAAUAACUAGACUUUCUUUGUAUUUAAUUAUUAAUAUUUAAUCAGAAAUAA
Formica exsecta is the source of this 887-nucleotide long non-coding RNA. RefSeq lists it as uncharacterized. Lineage: Eukaryota; Metazoa; Arthropoda; Insecta; Hymenoptera; Formicidae. The transcript is spliced from 3 exons. The record is from RefSeq and is a predicted model, not a curated record.